Molecule: non-coding RNA, 35 nt
Organism: Paludibacter sp. SCN 50-10
Lineage: Bacteria; Pseudomonadati; Bacteroidota; Bacteroidia; Bacteroidales; Paludibacteraceae
Source: Rfam
UCGGAGAAACCUGAAAAUCCGGAAGAGAGUAGGGA